Molecule: transfer RNA, 76 nt
Filed under: Pythium insidiosum
Lineage: Eukaryota; Oomycota; Peronosporomycetes; Pythiales; Pythiaceae
Description: tRNA-Thr
Rfam family: tRNA
About the family: Transfer RNA (tRNA) molecules are approximately 80 nucleotides in length. Their secondary structure includes four short double-helical elements and three loops (D, anti-codon, and T loops).
Source: RNAcentral
UGCUUCGUGUAGCUCAAGUGGUAUGAGUGCCAGUACGGUGUGCUGGAGGUCGCGGGUUCGAUUCCCGCCGGAGCAG